UCGGGAAUUUUGGGCAAUGGGCGAAAGCCUGAUGCAGCAACGCCGCGUGCGGGAAGAAGGCCCUCGGGUUGUAAACCGCUUUCAGAAGGAACGAAACUGACGGUACUUUCAGAAGAAGGUGCGGCCAACUACGUGCCAGCAGCCGCGGUGACACGUAGGCACCAAGCGUUGUCCGGAUUUAUUGGGCGUAAAGAGCUCGUAGGCGGUUCAGUAAGUCGGGUGUGAAAACUUUGGGCUUAACCCAAAGCGUGCAUCCGAUACUGCUGUGACUUGAGUACGGUAGGGGAGCGGGGAAUUCCUAGUGUAGCGGUGAAAUGCGCAGAUAUUAGGAGGAACACCGGUGGCGAAGGCGCCGCUCUGGGCCGAAACUGACGCUGAGGAGCGAAAGCAUGGGUAGCAAACAGGAUUAGAUACCCUCGUAGUCCCUGAGCGGGCUGGCAAGGCGCAU
Molecule: ribosomal RNA, 448 nt
Filed under: uncultured bacterium
Lineage: Bacteria
Description: bacterial SSU rRNA
Rfam family: Bacterial small subunit ribosomal RNA
Source: RNAcentral